AAGUUACUAAUAGCAUCUUCAGUACUCUGCUCAGGGCAUGGUACAAUCAUGGCACUGCCGCUGGUUGUUAUAUUCAUGAGCCAGACAAAAGUGAUCACUUCCUACACGUGACAGCACUAACCAUUGAAACAUUCAAAGAUUGUAGUUCUCGUGAGUCCUUGCAAUGCUAGCCUGCACUGCCCAUCCACACCUUUUUGCCCCUACUCCAAGCCUUCC
This 216-nucleotide long non-coding RNA is filed under the name Setaria viridis. RNAcentral describes it as "long non-coding RNA (SVIR_LNC001375)". The record is from RNAcentral. Lineage: Eukaryota; Viridiplantae; Streptophyta; Magnoliopsida; Poales; Poaceae.